CGACGUUGCUCCAAAAUGGCAGUUUUUGUCUUUCGGUGCCGGACUUUUGAGAAAUUACAAAAUUGCCACCGUGAUGUUUUGGCCCCUUUUGGCCCGAAUUACGAUUCGACACCCAAGCGGAACAGUUUCGGCAGCGGUGCGAGUUCUUCAAUGAACUGGAUGGUGCUGCUCAACCAUCGCCGGCGUAACCCACGCACGAAGGAGGUUCCUUUCUUCUUCGACGGCGUUACGACGGCAUCGCACCCACGAGCGUCGGCAACUUCAAUUUCCGGCGAAUUCCGGCGUUUGCCUUGAAUGGUGGCGUGUGUAGCUUCUUCUCCCUUUCUUCUGGCGAGUCUACGCUCCAGCGGACUCAGAUGUGAACUCCCACACAGUUUCAACAUUGUUCCAGUGGCUGUUCUCCAGUUUGUACAAGAUUCGACACUAUCCCAUUCUCAAUCAACUUUAAAUUAGUAACUGAACGCCUGCAAAUUCUACAGGGUUAAGCAUUUUUGAACACAAAGCUGAACUGUUCGAUGCUGCUUGGUGGCAUCCCGAAGGUCACAUGCUUUUCGGUGAGACUGUGUGAGAAAGAGGUACGAAUGUCUCGUGCAAUUAUAAAAGAAAGUUGGGUGAAUAUCAAAUGUGUCUUGAGUGAGUAAUGAAGAAGCUCCAAUAUGCCAUGCAUAGUUUGAAAACAAUUGCUGAAAGUGCUUCUCAAGACCUCCUUGAAUACAAUCGCUUGCUUGCUGAGCUCAAGCGUUCAAGUCGCUACAUAGACUCUUUGCAACUCUUUACUCAGAUCCAUUCAUCAUAUUGCUCCAAUAUCAAGCCUGACCACUACAAUCUCUCCACUACACUCGCUGUUUGUGCCAACUUUCGUGACAUUGCUUUCGGGUCUCAGCUCCAUGGUUAUGCUAUUCGAUCCGGGCUCAAAUUCUACCCUCAUGUUGCAAACACCGUUCUCUCACUUUAUUCCAAAAUAGAGGAUUUUGUGUCUUUGAAAAGGGGAUUCCAAGAGAUUGAGAAACCAGAUGUUUAUUCUUGGACUACGCUGUUGUCAGCUUGUAUGAAAAUGGGUCAUAUUGAAUAUGCAUCUGAGAUGUUUGAUAUAAUGCCAAAAGGUAAUGUUGCAUGUUGGAAUGCUAUGAUAACUGGGAGUGCAGAAAGUGGACAUGAUUGGGUUGCCAUGAACACCUUUUAUGAAAUGCACAAAAUGGGUGUUAAGCCUGAUAAUUACUCUUUUGCUUGUAUCUUGAGUUUGUGUACCAAGGAAAUUGAAGAUUUGGGAAGACAGGUCCAUUCUUCAGUGAUUAAAGCUGGAUAUCUUAGAAAAACUUCUGUGAUUAAUGCUUUGAUUACUAUGUAUUUUAGUAUUGAGAAUCUUGAGGAUGCCUAUGAAGUUUUUGAGGGAACUGAAUCUGAGGUUCAUGAUCAGAUUACGUAUAAUGUAAUGAUAGAUGGUUUGGUCUGCAUAAGAAGGAAUGAAGAGGCCUUGAUUAUGUUCAAGGAUAUGAAAAGGGCAUGUCUAAGUCCUACUGAGCUCACCUUUGUAAGCAUUAUGAGCUCAUGUUCAAUUAUACGGGUUGCCCAACAAGUACACUCCCAAGCCAUUAAGCUAGGGUUUGAAUCUUUUACUUUAGUAGGUAAUUCGACCAUAACCAUGUACUCUUCUUGUGGGGAGUUUCAAGCAGCAAAUGCAGUUUUCCAGAUGCUAAUAGAGAAAGAUCUCAUCUCAUGGAAUGCCAUAAUCUCGAGCUACGUCCAAGGAAAUUUUGGCAAAUCAGCUGUUCUUGCUUUUCUACAAAUGCAGAGGACUGGAAUUGGGCCAGAUGAGUUCACCUUUGGAAGCUUAUUAGGAGUUUCAGAGUUCAUUGAGAUACUGGAAAUGGUUCAUGCCUUUGUAUAUAAAAAUGGGUUGAUCCUCGUAAUCGAAAUUUUAAACGCAUUAGUUUCUGCAUACGCAAAGUGUAGGAAGGUUAAACAGUCUCAUCAAGUAUUUAGUGAAAUCAAUUCAAAAAAUUUGAUCUCUUGGAACACCGUCAUUUAUGGAUUUCUGUUAAAUGGGCUUCCAUUCCAAGCAUUGGAGCAUUUUUCUAAGCUCAUAAUGUCAAAGCUCAAGCCAAGCACAUUUACACUCAGCAUUGUCUUGAGCAUUUGUGCAAAUAUUUCAACCUUGGACAUCGGAAAACAAAUUCAUGGGUACAUUCUCAGAUCGGGAAACUCUUCUGAAACUUCCCUAUGCAAUGGCCUUAUUACAAUGUAUUCUAAAUGUGGGCUGUUAGGUUGGUCUUUGAAAACUUUUAAUGUCAUGAUUGAAAGGGAUAUUGUAUCAUGGAAUUCUAUAAUAUCUGCUUAUGCGCAACAUGGGCAGGGGAAGGAAGCUGUGCAUUGUUUCAAGGCUAUGCGAGACAUGCCCUCAAUCAUGCCUGAUCAGGCCACAUUUACCACUAUUCUUUCAGCUUGCAGCCAUGCCGGAUUAGUUGAGGAAGCCUGUCAGAUUUUGGAUACAAUGUUGAUAGAUUAUCAUGUUGUCCCUAGUAUGGAUCAGUUAUCUUGCAUUGUCGACCUUAUAGGUCGUUCAGGUUACAUUGAUCAGGCUGAAAGUGUAAUCGAAAGUGCACAAUAUGGGGAGCAUACACACGUUUGGUGGGCGUUGUUUAGUGCCUGUGCAGCUCAUGAAAACUUAAGGCUGGGAAGAAUUGUUGCGAGAAUCCUUCUAGAGAAAGAACGGGAGAAUCCAUCUGUGUAUGUGGUUUUGUCAAAUAUAUAUGCUAGUGCUGGGUGUUGGGAAGAAGCAGCCAAUGUGAGGGAAUUGAUUAAGAAAACUGGUUCAAUGAAACAACCAGGCUGCAGUUGGAUCAGUUGUUCAGCUAAGAGUUGAGGAAAGACCACGAUCAAAUCGACUACAAAUAGGGAAAUGCAUUUGUCUUGGAGUUCAUAGAGAUCAUACCUGAUAAUCGAGUGUGAUUUGUUUGUCAUAGAUAUUGAGCAAUCAACCAUCGGUGGUUGGAAACUCGAGACUACUCUUCUUAGAAGUAUGAGGAAGAACGUCACACACAAGGUGAGCUGCUGUCAAUGUUGAAGAUCAAAGGACACGAACAAGUCAAGGAAGGCAUUAGAUGAUGUUUAAUUCAAGAGCAGGAAAGUAAAAGAUCAGAAGAAUGGACGAGAAUAAAGCCUUAGACUUGGAAACUUUAAAGGGAUAGCUUGAAGAAGGUGGAUCUGGGCUGCCUUGAAGAUCGUUGCUCGGGAAGCUAAAGCAAAUUGAAAGAAAUCAGCAAGCAAAGCAAAAUUUCGGAUCAAUAAGUAGUAGACCGGUGUUUUGAUAAUUUUGAACUGUGGAAGCGGGGUUAGAAGCUAAUAUUGGUCAGGUAGAAGACAAUGGACUAGUUAAUUUGCGAAUCUGGAGUAGUCUCUGAUGUUGGAAGCGGUUUGAGCUGAAAUUUUGAGUGAAGAUCGUAGACCCGUAAUGAUAGAAUUGCAGCCUCAAACUACUUGGAUAUGGCAGAACACUUAAAUAUUUGCUCUCAAUUCAACUCAAUAACAAAAGAAAGAAAGAAAGAAAGAAGAUCGUAGACCUGUGAUGAUAGAACUGUAGCCUCAAACUACUUGGAUAUGGCAGAACACUUAGAUAUUUGCUCUCAAUUCAACUUAAUUUAGUCGUUAUUUGAUUGCAAUCGAACAUAGCUCAUUCAAAUUGAGGAAACUAUAAAUUUAACUUUAAAACAUGUUAAAUAUGUUUUCAAUUUAAAAUUGCUUACAAAUGAGCUUAAUUUAUACAAUUGAAUCCGUUUCAUGUUUCAAUA
This is an RNA transcript of Cucumis melo (muskmelon), 3788 nucleotides long. It is a transcript of the gene named pentatricopeptide repeat-containing protein At3g49740, with no coding region annotated. The transcript is spliced from 7 exons. Lineage: Eukaryota; Viridiplantae; Streptophyta; Magnoliopsida; Cucurbitales; Cucurbitaceae. The record is from RefSeq and is a predicted model, not a curated record.